This 217-nucleotide unclassified non-coding RNA is filed under the name plant metagenome. RNAcentral's name for it is "partial contains small subunit ribosomal RNA, internal transcribed spacer 1, and 5.8S ribosomal RNA". The record is from RNAcentral.
UCUCCGUUGGUGAACCAGCGGAGGGAUCAUUACCGAGUUAUACAACUCACAAACCCCUGUGAACCUUACCUAUCGUUGCUUCGGCGGGACUGCCCCGGUGCCUCUCUGCACGGAACCAGGCGCCCGCCGGAUACCAAAACUCUUGUCUUUUAUGCGUAUUCUGCGUGGCAUACGCAAAAAUGAAUAAAAACUUUCAACAACGGAUCUCUUGGUUCUG